This 806-nucleotide ribosomal RNA is filed under the name uncultured cyanobacterium. Its description in RNAcentral is "bacterial SSU rRNA". It matches the Rfam family "Bacterial small subunit ribosomal RNA", at positions 36 to 886 of the family's 1533-position model. Lineage: Bacteria; Bacillati; Cyanobacteriota. The record is from RNAcentral.
CUGGCGGUAUGCUUACACAUGCAAGUCGAACGGUCUUUUAGGAGACAGUGGCGGACGGGUGAGUAACGCGUAAGAAUCUACCUUCAGGUUGGGGACAACCACUGGAAACGGUGGCUAAUACCGAAUGUGCCGAGAGGUGAAAGGCUUGCUGCCUGAAGAAGAGCUUGCGUCUGAUUAGCUAGUUGGUAGUGUAAGAGACUACCAAGGCGACGAUCAGUAGCUGGUCUGAGAGGAUGAUCAGCCACACUGGGACUGAGACACGGCCCAGACUCCUACGGGAGGCAGCAGUGGGGAAUUUUCCGCAAUGGGCGAAAGCCUGACGGAGCAAUACCGCGUGAGGGAGGAAGGCUCUUGGGUUGUAAACCUCUUUUCUCAGGGAAGAACAGAAUGACGGUACCUGAGGAAUAAGCAUCGGCUAACUCCGUGCCAGCAGCCGCGGUAAUACGGAGGAUGCAAGCGUUAUCCGGAAUGAUUGGGCGUAAAGGGUCCGCAGGUGGCAUUGUAAGUCUGCUGUUAAAGAGUUUGGCUCAACCAAAUAAGAGCAGUGGAAACUACAAAGCUAGAGUGUGGUCGGGGCAGAGGGAAUUCCUGGUGUAGCGGUGAAAUGCGUAGAUAUCAGGAAGAACACCAGUGGCGAAGGCGCUCUGCUAGGCCGAGACUGACACUGAGGGACGAAAGCUAGGGGAGCGAAUGGGAUUAGAUGCCCCAGUAGUCCUAGCCGUAAACGAUGGAUACUAGGCGUAGCUCGUAUCGACCCGAGCUGUGCCGGAGCUAACGCGUUAAGUAUCCCGCCUGGGGAGUACGCA